UGACGUUCCAAUGAUAACAGAAUGAAACGCAGGUCCUUGUUUCCAUUUUUUCAACUGAUGCCUUGUGUUCGACCGGUCCCGAUUAUAUGAAUCACGCGGACAAUUGGCAAACAAUGAAGUCGAAAAAAGCUGGUUCAGUGUU
This is a non-coding RNA of Caenorhabditis elegans, 142 nucleotides long. NCBI's taxonomy places the organism in Eukaryota, Metazoa, Nematoda, Chromadorea, Rhabditida, Rhabditidae. The record is from Ensembl.